Molecule: ribosomal RNA, 497 nt
Filed under: uncultured bacterium
Lineage: Bacteria
Description: partial 16S ribosomal RNA
Rfam family: Bacterial small subunit ribosomal RNA
Source: RNAcentral
GAUGAACGCUGGCGGCGUGCCUAAUACAUGCAAGUCGAGCGAACAGAUGAGGAGCUUGCUCCUCUGACGUUAGCGGCGGACGGGUGAGUAACACGUGGAUAACCUACCUAUAAGACUGGGAUAACUUCGGGAAACCGGAGCUAAUACCGGAUAAUAUAUUGAACCGCAUGGUUCAAUAGUGAAUGACGGUUUUGCUGUCACUUAUAGAUGGAUCCGCGCCGCAUUAGCUAGUUGGUAAGGUAACGGCUUACCAAGGCAACGAUGCGUAGCCGACCUGAGAGGGUGAUCGGCCACACUGGAACUGAGACACGGUCCAGACUCCUACGGGAGGCAGCAGUAGGGAAUCUUCCGCAAAGGGCGAAAGCCUGACGGAGCAACGCCGCGUGAGUGAUGAAGGUCUUCGGAUCGUAAAACUCUGUUAUUAGGGAAGAACAAAUGUGUAAGUAACUAUGCACGUCUUGACGAUACCUAAUCAGAAAGCCACGGCUAACUACGUG